This 254-nucleotide ribosomal RNA is filed under the name uncultured bacterium. Its description in RNAcentral is "partial 16S ribosomal RNA". It matches the Rfam family "Bacterial small subunit ribosomal RNA", at positions 524 to 776 of the family's 1533-position model. The record is from RNAcentral.
UACGUAGGGGGCGAGCGUUGUCCGGAUUUAUUGGGCGUAAAGAGCUCGUAGGCGGUUCGAUAAGUCGGACGUGAAAUCUCCACGCUCAACGUGGAGGGGCCGUUCGAUACUGUCGUGACUCGAGUCCGGUAGGGGAGUGUGGAAUUCCCGGUGUAGCGGUGAAAUGCGUAGAGAUCGGAAAGAACACCAACGGCGAAAGCACUCUGCUGGGCCGACACUGACACUGAGAGACGAAAGCUAGGGGAGCGAAUGGG